RNAcentral lists this long non-coding RNA (1193 nucleotides) under Strigops habroptila (Kakapo). RNAcentral describes it as "lncRNA (ENSSHBG00005004803.1)". Lineage: Eukaryota; Metazoa; Chordata; Aves; Psittaciformes; Psittacidae. The record is from RNAcentral.
AGCUGAUUCAUUUAACUUUAAAAACCACUGAUUUACUGCUGAUAACCCUGACAAGCUUUUAAGCCUUUGAUGAUAGAUAAUAGUCAAACUCCCAGGAAAGAAUGGAGCCUGGAGGAGAUGAUCCCAUCUUGCAAAGCCUACCCUGGCUCAAAGUAUACUCUGGGGCAUGACAAAGGAAAUGCUUUCUCACGGGGGCUUGGGACAGGCACUCCACUUGCCCUCCUGCUGGGGAUGGCCACGUCGUUGUUGCAGCAGGCUGGCUCAUGCUUGUGGAGUCUGAUGCAGUUAGUGAGGAUUCACAGGAAACAUAAAUCAGAUGAGCAGCAUGGUUACAGUCCCUGUCAUGCUGGUACUUCAGCAUAACCAUGCUGUUAUUUUUAGAUGAGAAAAUGACAGACUUUGUUUUUACUUUUGAAGUCAGAAUGAGGUAUCUCUCGCAAAGAUAAGAGACUAGGGCUAGUCCUGGUCUCAGGGUUAUCUAGUGGUGAGAUGCUAACCAGGCGUUUCCAUCACUUUGGGCCUGUACAUUCCUCCCACAAGCCACCAUCAUUUACAAAACAGAGCUCCAUUAGAAGUGACUUAUUUUAUCUGAUGGCUGUUCUGCCAGCAUUAGCACACACUGAUAGCAUCUGAAGUCUUGGUAGGAGACUAAGCCAAAUAAUGGAGAUUCACUCUUAACAAAUCUAUUCAAAUACUCUUUACAGCCCUAGCAAAUCUGUGAUAAGAGUUUACAUAUAAACAAUAUGCAAGGAACACAGGAUUACUGUCACACAGCCCUACUUCUUACAUCUUCUUCUAGACGUUAACAACUGUGUUUUAACAACUAAAAAACUGAGACAAUACUUUAUGCCAUGUUGUUUGGACGUAUAAAGAGUCUGAUUAGAAAAGUUUGAGUCAAAGCCCAGUAAAUCUGUGGAUGGGAUGCUGUUGUCUUGUAUGAAGUUCUACCAGAAUUUAAUGUGCUUAACCAGCAGGCAGAAUUCACUUUUUUCAGAAUCUUUUUUCAGAAUAGGUUAGUAGUACACCAACUUUUAUUAUAACUGCAUCUUUCAAAUAUUCCUUCAGGCUGUUUGGGAAAUUCCAAUCCUCAUUCUAUCUUUAUACCUUUUAUUUGCAGUAGAAAAGUCGGUGUUUUCACCAGGGUAGCUGUCUUAAAGCUGAAUGAAGACAAAAAAAACCAAAAAACCAAAAAA